CGUAACAAGGUCUCCGUUGGUGAACCAGCGGAGGGAUCAUUACCGAGUUUACAACUCCCAAACCCAAUGUGAACGUUACCAAACUGUUGCCUCGGCGGGAUCUCUGCCCCGGGUGCGUCGCAGCCCCGGACCAAGGCGCCCGCCGGAGGACCAACCAAAACUCUUAUUGUAUACCCCCUCGCGGGUUUUUUACUAUCUGAGCCAUCUCGGCGCCCCUCGUGGGCGUUUCGAAAAUGAAUCAAAACUUUCAACAACGGAUCUCUUGGUUCUGGCAUCGAUGAAGAACGCAGCGAAAUGCGAUAAGUAAUGUGAAUUGCAGAAUUCAGUGAAUCAUCGAAUCUUUGAACGCACAUUGCGCCCGCCAGUAUUCUGGCGGGCAUGCCUGUCCGAGCGUCAUUUCAACCCUCGAACCCCUCCGGGGGGUCGGCGUUGGGGAUCGGCCCUUUACGGGGCCGGCCCCGAAAUACAGUGGCGGUCUCGCCGCAGCCUCUCCUGCGCAGUAGUUUGCACACUCGCAUCGGGAGCGCGGCGCGUCCACAGCCGUUAAACACCCCAAACUUCUGAAAUGUUGACCUCGG
RNAcentral lists this ribosomal RNA (578 nucleotides) under Trichoderma virens. RNAcentral's name for it is "eukaryotic LSU rRNA". The stretch from base 243 to 396 matches the Rfam family "5.8S ribosomal RNA". The record is from RNAcentral. Lineage: Eukaryota; Fungi; Ascomycota; Sordariomycetes; Hypocreales; Hypocreaceae.